Long non-coding RNA from Xiphophorus couchianus (Monterrey platyfish), 297 nucleotides. RefSeq lists it as uncharacterized. The transcript is spliced from 3 exons. The record is from RefSeq and is a predicted model, not a curated record. Lineage: Eukaryota; Metazoa; Chordata; Actinopteri; Cyprinodontiformes; Poeciliidae.
CACACUAGUGGGUCAGGGACAAGGAAUCCACAGGGGUCAGGAGUCCAGGAGCCGGGGGGGUGAAUGGGCAAAGGGAGAUCUGUGGGGGUCUCAGGGGACAAACAGACGACAGGGACAAAAUCCACCAACCAGAGGCUGAGUCGUGAAACGGUCCAGGGUCAAGCACGGGAGGGUCUCAGGCAAUGAAAAUCCAGAAUCCAGAAGGCAGGAGGCAGGGUCAGAGACAGGCAGGGUUCAGCAACAGGACUUUCAACAGCAGAAGGAUUAGGCAAAAAUCUUUUUAGAUCAUCUGUGUUG